RNAcentral lists this unclassified non-coding RNA (2121 nucleotides) under Rhagoletis pomonella (apple maggot). Its description in RNAcentral is "putative nuclease HARBI1, transcript variant X2". The record is from RNAcentral. Lineage: Eukaryota; Metazoa; Arthropoda; Insecta; Diptera; Tephritidae.
CAGGGUUAAACUUAGUUUAACCUAUCAGCUGUGUGCUGAUUCGUUUUUUUUGGUUGCAAAAAAAUAAUUAAACGCAAAGUCUUGUAAUUUAAUUUUUACUUAAAAAAUGGAUAUUUCCUCUGACGAAAGUGAUUAUAGUGACGCGGCAGUAAGUGAAAUACUUACGAUUACUAUACUGAGGAGAAAAAGAGUCAUAUGUACUCAAGAAUGAUAGAAUACAAAGAUUGCGCCGAUAGGGGUGCAAAAAUUUUUCGUUCUGCGCAUCUACGUCAUAAUAUAAAAGUUGUUGUUGGCGAUCUGUCAAAUCGCAUACAAUUUCGACGAAAAAAAGUAAAUAUAGCAUAAAAUUUAGUCGAAAGACUAAAAUAAAACAAUCUGGUGGCAAUUUAUUGAAUCGAGAAGACGGUAAAUUUAUUUUGUGUUUCUUUUACAUUAUUUAUAUUAUUAUUUUAUUUCAGGUGAGUAGGGCGUUCAAAUAAAAAUUGCAUUCUGUGGCCGCCGUUGCGCUGGCAAAUGGAACGAGUAAGAUUUCCAAAUGAAAUUGAAGCCACAGCAAAUAGUGCAUAGCUCCAAGGCUUGGAAACAAAUAUAGAAGCUAUAUGAUGCCAGAAAGACUACAGAGAAUCGAAGAGCGCUAACCAGGAAACAGCGUAAAAGGGCCAAUUCGUUGAGCAAGGGCGUGCUCAUAGCAUGGAAAUACAAUGCAAACGGUGCCAACAUAAAAUUAAACUGCCAAGGCAUAAGCAAGAAAUUUUACCUGAAACUGUGACGCCUGCCCACAGCAUCAAAUAAGGAUAUCGUUCCAAUGAAACCCAAUAUUAACGACGUAUUUUGACGACGAUGAACUCUUUGCGAACGCUCCGGGUUUUCAUCACCGGGCUUGUAAAUUGAUGGCACGGGGCCUCGUUUCAACAAUCUUCUUUUUGCAUAACCUUAGAAAUGUUUUAAACACUUUCAUUAAUAUAAACACAAUAAACGAAAUAAAUAAACAUCCUACCCACUUCAAACUGCAGACUAUUUUCAAAAUCUUCACUUGCAAAGUGAUGCAUGCAAAUAUAGCAAGUUUUAAAUUGGAAAUCCUUGCUUUGCCGGCAGAACUGGAUCCACUUUUUCCUAAGUUCUGGAUCUGAAGGAAAAGUAAACAAACUGCACUCUGCCGCCGUUUUUCCACAUUUCGCAACUGCGCACUUCAUUUUACAACGUUUUUAUUUUAUAACUUUAACAAAAAUAUCACAAAUCAAUACGUUUUCCUCGCAAACCAAUACGUUUCCCUCGCAAACCAAUACGUUUCCCUCGCAAACCAAUACGCUUCCCACCAAAAAUUUUAUAUUAUGACGUCAAAACUCGAACAGCUGAUUUGUAAACAAGAGUAACGGACCUGCGCAAAGCGCAAUCUCUUUAUUCUAUCAUUCUUGAUAUGUACUCACCCGAAUCAUUUUAAUAUUUUUGAUGAAAAAGAUUUUUUUGAACGCUUUCGCCUGACAAAAGCAUCCGCUUACAGCGUUUUGGAGCUUAUCGGAGAGCACAUCAGGCACCCGACAAAUUGGAAUCACGCAUAGACAGAGGAACAAAUGCUACUUAUCACCCUACGGGUAUAUGCAGCUGGUGGAAUGCUUCAAACAAUUGGCGAUUUGUUCGGAAUAUCGAAGUCAACGGUGUCUAAAGUGGUAACGUUGGUGUCACACCAUAUAGCUCUGCUGAGGGCUCGUUUCAUUAAAUUCCCAGAAAGCGAUACGGAGAAACUUGAAACCUAUAAAGGAUUCUUCAAAAUUGCUAAGUUUCCCACAGUGAUAGCAGCUUUGGAUUGCACACACAUAAAGAUAAUUUCGCCAGGUGGUGAAAACCCGGAGCUAUAUCGGAAUAGAAAGGGAUUCUCUUCCAUCAACGUUCAAACCACAUGUGACGCUAGUCUUAAAAUAACAAAUAUUGUGGCUCGCUGGCCAGGUUCUGCUCAUGAUUCAAACAUAUUAAGGAAUUCUAGGAUGUACUCACGUUUUGAAAGCAGUGAUUUCGGUGACAGUUUAAUUAUUGCAGAUAGUAGACACCCGAACAAAAAAAGGCGUGAGUACUAGGUAUUCAUGAAAUUUGAUGUGUAUACAUAUGCGAACGGCAAAGCAUAAA